Molecule: ribosomal RNA, 253 nt
Filed under: uncultured bacterium
Lineage: Bacteria
Description: partial 16S ribosomal RNA
Rfam family: Bacterial small subunit ribosomal RNA
Source: RNAcentral
UACGAAGGGUGCAAGCGUUGUUCGGAUUUAUUGGGCGUAAAGCGCGCGCAGGCGGAUUAUUAAGUCAGGUGUGAAAUCUCGGGGCUCAACCUCGAAACUGCGCCUGAAACUGGUAAUCUAGAAUCUUAGAGGGGGAAGGGGAAUUUCGCAUGUAGGGGUAAAAUCCGUAGAGAUGCGAAGGAACACCAGAGCCGAAGGGGCCUUCCUGGAUAAGUAUUGACGCUGAGGCGCGAAAGCGUGGGGAGCGAACAGG